Molecule: ribosomal RNA, 399 nt
Filed under: uncultured eukaryote
Lineage: Eukaryota
Description: SSU rRNA
Rfam family: Eukaryotic small subunit ribosomal RNA
Source: RNAcentral
AGCUCCAAUAGCGUAUAUUAAAGUUGUUGCAGUUAAAAAGCUCGUAGUCGGAUUUCAGGGCGGGGCUGCCGGUCUGCCGAUGGGUAUGCACUGGUGGGCUCGUUCUUCCUUCUGGGGACUGCGCCUACUCUUGACUGAGCGGGCGUAGGAAACAGGACUUUUACUUUGAAAAAUCAGAGUGUUUAAAGCAGGCCAAGAUGCUCUUGCAUGGAUUAGCAUGGGAUAAUGGAAUAGGACUUUGGUGCUAUUUUGUUGGUUUCGAACACCGAAGUAAUGAUUAAUAGGGACAGUCAGGGGCACUCGUAUUCCGUUGAGAGAGGUGAAAUUCUUAGACCAAUGGAAGACGAACUUCUGCGAAAGCAUUUGCCAGGGAUGUUUUCACUGAUCAAGAACGAAAGU